This 123-nucleotide ribosomal RNA is filed under the name Epicoccum latusicollum. Its description in RNAcentral is "partial small subunit ribosomal RNA". Lineage: Eukaryota; Fungi; Ascomycota; Dothideomycetes; Pleosporales; Didymellaceae. The record is from RNAcentral.
AUGGCUCAGUAGGCCUCAGGCCUGGAUGGAAGAGGUUGGCACCGCACUUCCAGCCCGAAGCUGGUCAAACUCGGUCUUUAGAGGAAGUAAAAGUCCUAACUGGGUUUCCGUAUGAGAAUCUGC